RNAcentral lists this long non-coding RNA (948 nucleotides) under Helianthus annuus (common sunflower). RNAcentral's name for it is "hypothetical non coding rna". Lineage: Eukaryota; Viridiplantae; Streptophyta; Magnoliopsida; Asterales; Asteraceae. The record is from RNAcentral.
GCUUCUCUUCCACAUUAUUGCAGGUGAUUGAAUGCUGAAACUAAAGCAUUCGUGCGUUUCCAUCCCACCCAACCAAGCGUCGCUCCCUCAUGUUCAUAUAGAACCCCAGUCAAGCGCAGAUUAGGGUCUUUCUUGCUUGCGAAUUGCCCCCGUUGCUUCAACAAACCCUAAUUUUCAGAUCUCAUGGAUUUCCACAGCCUUACCAGAACAGAGCUUCAAUCUCUCUGCAAACUGAACAAGAUCCCUGAUUACAUCACCAAUGUCGCCAUGGCUGAUGCUCUCCAAUCUCUCGAUGUCUAAUCUGAUGAUGGGUAAUAGCAGAACAAAUGAAAAGGGCAAGGCGCCUAUCUCUGCUGAUAGCGCUUUUUUGAGAGGAGUAUCACUACCCGGCGGCCUUACUAUUCUUGAAGGAAACAUUGGUGAAGAUGCUUUUGAUUCCUUGCUAGAUAUGUCCAUCACAUUUGCCAAACUAGAAUAUUUUCAUUAGUCUCUUGCACAAGGGUUACAUGAAACUGUUGCAAACCUUAGGGGUUAUUCGACGAAUUCAAACAGCGUCAAGAAUCAUCAAAUAAACAUGAGUUCCAAUAUGGUAAACACAAAUCUCCAAGGAGUUCCAUCAUUGCCUGGAACAUGAGUUAGCCUCAACAAUCUGUGAACUAAUGGUACAAUGCAAUAUCUUCUGGUGGCAUUAGUACUUUUGGUGGGUAAUUAAGUUUUGCAUCUUUUAAUAGACCACAGGUAAAUAGAGAUAUUGUUGGUUCAUCUGUUUUAGUUAACCCUAGAGAAUCUAUACCUCUUCACUCACGAUAUACAUAUCUGAAACAAAGUAAUUAAUUUUGUAACAUCUAAGUACACCAUCCUGUGUAAUUUGUGAGAAAUUAUAAACCAUGGUGGUUGUAGCUCGAAUACAAAUGAUUGAAUGUAGAUAUUUGGGUUAUUUUUUGUUUU